Ameiurus melas (black bullhead) is the source of this 121-nucleotide non-coding RNA. NCBI's taxonomy places the organism in Eukaryota, Metazoa, Chordata, Actinopteri, Siluriformes, Ictaluridae. The record is from the annotation of a GenBank genome assembly.
ACUGGGAUGGCCGAGUGUUUAAGGCAUUGGACGUAGGUUCUCAAGAGGCCGAGUGUUUAAGGCAUUGGACGUAGGUUCCAAUGGAUUAAAGUCCUCGUGGGUUCAAACCCCACUCCUGGUA